RNAcentral lists this ribosomal RNA (1029 nucleotides) under uncultured bacterium. RNAcentral describes it as "bacterial SSU rRNA". It matches the Rfam family "Bacterial small subunit ribosomal RNA", at positions 338 to 1378 of the family's 1533-position model. The record is from RNAcentral.
CCUACGGGAGGCAGCAGUAGGGAAUCUUGCGCAAUGGGCGAAAGCCUGACGCAGCGACGCCGCGUGAGGGAUGAAUGCCUUCGGGUUGUAAACCUCUUUCAGCAGGGACGAAGCCCUUUGGGUGACGGUACCUGCAGAAGAAGCCCCGGCCAACUACGUGCCAGCAGCCGCGGUAAUACGUAGGGGGCAAGCGUUGUCCGGAUUUAUUGGGCGUAAAGAGCUCGUAGGCGGCUGUCCACGUCGGGUGUGAAAGCUCAGAGCUCAACUCUGAGAGGCCAUUCGAUACGGGACGGCUAGAGGUAGGUAGGGGAAAGUGGAAUUCCUGGUGUAGCGGUGAAAUGCGCAGAUAUCAGGAGGAACACCGGUGGCGAAGGCGGCUUUCUGGGCCUUACCUGACGCUGAGGAGCGAAAGCUGGGGGAGCGAACAGGAUUAGAUACCCUGGUAGUCCCAGCCGUAAACGUUGAGUGCUAGGUGUGGGGAGGUCUUCAACCCUCUCUGUGCCGCAGCUAACGCAUUAAGCACUCCGCCUGGGGAGUACGGCCGCAAGGCUAAAACUCAAAGGAAUUGACGGGGACCCGCACAAGCGGCGGAGCAUGUGGCUUAAUUCGAUGCAACGCGAAGAACCUUACCUGGGCUUGACAUGCUGGUUAGACCCUGUGAAAGCAGGGCUCCGUAAGGGGCCAGCACAGGUGCUGCAUGGCUGUCGUCAGCUCGUGCCGUGAGGUGUUGGCUUAAGUGCCGCAACGAGCGCAACCCCUGUCCUUAGUUGCCAGCGGGUAAUGCCGGGGACUCUAAAGAGACUGCCGGGGACAACUCGGAGGAAGGUGGGGAUGACGUCAAGUCAGCAUGGCCCUUAUGUCCAGGGCUGCACACAUGCUACAUUGCGCGCCACAAAGGGCUGCGAUCCCGCGAGGGGGAGCGAAUCCCAAAAAGCGCGUCUGGAUCGGAUUGCAGUCUGCAACUCGACUGCAUGAAGUCGGAGUCGCUAGUAAUCCCAGAUCAGCACGCCGCGGUGAUACGUUCCCGGG